ACUUUGUACUGAAAAAAUUAUGAAUAAACAAAUUCAAAAUACAACUUUCAACAACGGAUCCUUGGCUCUCGCAUCGAUGAAGAACGCAGCGAAAUGCGAUACGUAAUGUGAAUUGCAGAAUUCAGUGAAUCAUCGAAUCUUUGAACGCAUAUUGCGCUCUUUGGUAUUCCGAAGAGCAUGCUUGUUUGAGUAUCAGUAAACACCUCAAAGCCUUUUUCUUUUUGAAGAAAGGCUUUGGACUUGAGCAAUCCCAACACCAAUCUUUUAAAGAGAGGGGGCGGGUUGCUUGAAAUGCAGGUGCAGCUGGACAUUCUCCUGAGCUAAAAGCAUAUUCAUUUAGUCCCGUCAAACGGAUUAUUACUUUUGCUGCAGCUAAUAUAAAGGGAGUUUGACCAUUUUGGCUGACUGAUGCAGGAUUUUCACAAGAGUCUUCAAAACCUCUUGUUAAACUCGAUCUCAAAUCAAGUAAGACUACCCGCUGAACUUAA
This 488-nucleotide ribosomal RNA is filed under the name uncultured fungus. RNAcentral describes it as "eukaryotic LSU rRNA". The stretch from base 43 to 195 matches the Rfam family "5.8S ribosomal RNA". The record is from RNAcentral. Lineage: Eukaryota; Fungi.